CCUACGGGAGGCAGCAGUGGGGAAUAUUGGGCAAUGGAGGCAAGUCUGACCCAGCAACGCCGCGUGAAUGAUGACGGUCUUCGGAUUGUAAAGUUCUGUGAUGGGGGAUGAACACAAUGACGGUACUCCAAUAGCAAGCCACGGCUAACUACGUGCCAUCAGCCGCGGGAAUACGUAGGUGGCAAGCGUUAUCCCGAAUGACUGGGCGUAAAGGGUGCGUAGGUGGUUUAGUAAGUUGACGGGGUAAUUCCGGGGCUCAACCUCGGCGCUACCGCCAAAACUAUUAGACUAGAGUGCAGGGGAGGUAAGUGGAAUGCGUGGUGUAGCGGUGGAAUGCGUAGAUAUUAGGAGGAACAUCAGGGGCGAAGGCGACUUACUGGACUGUAACUGACACUGAGGCACGAAAGCGUGGGGAGCAAACAGGAUUAGAUACCCUUGUAGUC
This 443-nucleotide ribosomal RNA is filed under the name uncultured bacterium. Its description in RNAcentral is "partial 16S ribosomal RNA". It matches the Rfam family "Bacterial small subunit ribosomal RNA", at positions 338 to 795 of the family's 1533-position model. The record is from RNAcentral.